GACGAACGCUGGCGGCGUGCUUAACACAUGCAAGUCGAACGGGCUCUGUCUGGCUGUGUGCUGGGUGGGGUUAGUGGCGAACGGGUGAGUAAUACGUGAGUAACCUGCCCUCUUCUUUGGGAUAAGCCUUGGAAACGGGGUCUAAUACUGGAUAUUCCUGUCUGGUCGCAUGGCUGGGUGGGGAAAGUUUUUUUCGGUGGGGGAUGGGCUCGCGGCCUAUCAGCUUGUUGGUGGGGUGAUGGCCUACCAAGGCGUCGACGGGUAGCCGGCCUGAGAGGGUGACCGGCCACACUGGGACUGAGAUACGGCCCAGACUCCUACGGGGGGCAGCAGUGGGGGAUAUUGCACAAUGGGCGCAAGCCUGAUGCAGCGACGCCGCGUGGGGGAUGACGGCUUUCGGGUUGUAAACCUCUUUCGUCGGGGGACAAGGCUCUGCUUGGUGGUGGGGUUGAGGGUACCCGGUGAAGAAGCGCCGGCUAACUACGUG
Molecule: ribosomal RNA, 487 nt
Filed under: uncultured bacterium
Lineage: Bacteria
Description: partial 16S ribosomal RNA
Rfam family: Bacterial small subunit ribosomal RNA
Source: RNAcentral